AUGCAACUUGUCCUAGCCCGGCGGUGCCACCUGGUACUCGCUCUGUUCCUCCUGCUGCAGCAGGCCGUGGCUUGCUCGGCCGCCGCCGCCGCCGGCAGCAACAACGAGACGGACCGCGCCGCUCUGCUGGCGUUCAAGCACGCCGUCUCUGGAGGCGGCCGCGCCGGCCCGCUGAGCUCCUGGAACGACUCCUUGCCCUUCUGCCGGUGGCGUGGCGUCUCGUGUCACGCUGGCAAUGGCAGAGUGACCGCGCUGGUGCUCGCGUCGGCGCGUCUCACCGGCGCUAUCCCUCCGGCACUCGGGAACCUCACCUUCCUCUCGUCUCUUCAGCUGCCGGACAACGGGCUAACGGGGGAGAUACCUACGUCCGUCGGCGGUUUGCGGCGCCUCCGCAGGCUGAACCUCUCCGGCAACCAGCUCCGUGGGGCCAUCCUGGCAGAGGCGGCCCUGCUCACAAACCUGACGCACCUCAACCUGUCGCGCAAUCUGCUCGUCGGCCGUAUCCCGCCCGGGCUCGGCCGUCUCGGCGGUGCGCUGGUAAAUCUGGACCUCUCCAGGAACCAACUCACUGGGAGCAUACCGACCUCCCUCGCCGGGCUGCCGUGGUUGCAGCGGAUCCGCCUUGGGAACAACAACCUCACCGGCAGCAUACCACCGCUGUUCGCCAACAUGACGGCCCUCCUCGGAUUCACCUUCAAGUACAACUACCUUGACGGUAGCCUGCCGGAGGACAUAGGCCAGUCCUCUUGUCGGCGAGCUCCCGGCGUCUAUCUACAACGUCACCUCCAUCAGGAUGAUCGAGCUGUCUUACAACUCAAUAUCGGGGAGGCUCCGCCACGACAUCGGAGACUCGGUCCCGGAGCUCUACUUCCUCAGCAUGUUCGGCAACGAGCUCGUCGGACGGAUACCAGCGAGCCUGGCGAACGCGUCGAAGAUGCAGACCAUCAACCUGGGCGAGAACAACCUCGUCGGCGUGGUGCCCGCGGACCUUGGCGAACUCAGGGAGCUCCUCCAUCCCACCUGAGCUUCAACAUGCUGCACGCCAGCACACCUGGCGAGUGGCAGUUCGUGGAUGCCCUGACGAAUUGCAGCAAGCUGCGUGUGCUCCACAUGUUCCACAGCGAUCUCUCCGGCCAGCUGCCGGCGUCGGUUGCCAACCUGUCGACGGAGCUCGCGUGGCUGGACUUGUCGUACAACCGGAUAUCUGGGACCAUCCCCUCCGGUAUCGGCAAGCUGAGGGGUCUGACAACGCUCCGAUUCCAGGCCAACAACUUGUCCGGGGUCAUCCCGGAGUCGACGGGCCUUCUAACUGGCAUGUUUGAGAUGCUCGUCUUCGGGAACCGGCUGACCGGCACGAUUCCGUCGUCGCUCGGCAACCUCACCAAGCUGACGCAGCUGGAGCUGAGCGAAAACGAGCUCGUUGGCGAGGUGCCGCCGAGCUUAGCGGGUUGCCGCAGCCUCGCCUACCUGAGUGUCGGCGGGAAUCGGCUCACUGGGACCAUUCCAGCUCAGGUUUUCACCAUACCGGCAAUGUCCUACAUCCUAAACAUGUCCAACAACUUCAUUUCCGGCGAGGUGCCACCGGAGGUUGGCCGCCUUCAGAGUCUCCAAACCUUGGAUCUCUCCAAUAACAGAUUGACUGGUGCGAUCCCCGCGACGAUAGGCCAGAGUCAGAUGCUUCAGAGGUUAUAUCUCCAAGGCAACCUGCUCCGCGGUGGCAUCUUGCCGUCGUCAUUCGGGAGCCUCAAGGGCCUGGAGGAGCUGGACAUGUCCCGCAACAACCUGUCCGGCGAGUUCCCACGCUUUCUGCAAGACCUACGGUACCUGCGUCUCCUGAACCUGUCCUUGAACCUUCUCGCCGGUGAGGUGCCGGUCAAGGGAGUCUUCACCAACGCGACGGCCGUCCACCUCACCGGGAAUGGGGGCAUUGGGGAAUUGGGCCGGCGAGGAAUAAAGGUAAAUCGCUUGCUCUGA
RNAcentral lists this ribosomal RNA (1974 nucleotides) under Triticum aestivum (bread wheat). RNAcentral's name for it is "partial small subunit ribosomal RNA". Lineage: Eukaryota; Viridiplantae; Streptophyta; Magnoliopsida; Poales; Poaceae. The record is from RNAcentral.